CUCGGUGUCCCCCCUUGUCCCCAUCUCUUUGUUUCUUAAUUUCUUUUCACCAUCCUCUUACCCUGACGUUUCCUGGUUGAUGUGUCGCGCUGGCCGAGACAGUCGUUUUUAUUUAUUUAUUUAUUUUUCCCUGUUAAAUCUAAAACCAGUCUUGAGCAAUCCACAGGGUGCUACUGAUGAAGAGGUGGAGGUAGAAGCUCUUCUUCUGUCUUGUUUUCUGGAGUUGACUGGUUCUCCUGCUGGUCUGCCUACCUAUGCUCAGACACUUCCAUUUCUGUGCUGAAUUCAACUGUUGGUCACUGACCAUGGGCUCAUCUGAGAUGCCUGGGAAGAUCUCUAACAUUUGGUAAGCGGAGAAGGUUCAACCUGUGCAGGGCAUUAUGAAAUGUAUUUGGGAGAUUUGUAUCUAAUAAGGAUGCUUAAUGAUUAUGGGAGGUGAAAAGUGAGUGCAGAAACUGCAAGAAAAAGCUACAGUAGAAGGUUACUGCAAUGUGCAAAAUCACCUGGACUCCCACUUCCACACUGCUAUUUAGUGAAAGGGUGGAGUGUCUACUGUGUGGGCAAUAAGUGCAAAUUUAUUAAAUGUUGUGAGAGUAACAACAUGAAGAAAUGAAGGGCAUAGGUCUCCAGGAGCUCAUAAUUUAGUCAAGAGAAGAUACAGAGAAAUAAAUU
Molecule: long non-coding RNA, 672 nt
Organism: Neogale vison (American mink)
Lineage: Eukaryota; Metazoa; Chordata; Mammalia; Carnivora; Mustelidae
Exons: 5
Source: RefSeq, a predicted model, not a curated record